Molecule: long non-coding RNA, 415 nt
Filed under: Setaria viridis
Lineage: Eukaryota; Viridiplantae; Streptophyta; Magnoliopsida; Poales; Poaceae
Description: long non-coding RNA (SVIR_LNC005437)
Source: RNAcentral
CUUCAUAUUUAAGAUAGUUUGACUUAGGACCAAAUUAGAAUGAUACUCUUUUGGAAUAGAGGGAGUACUCUAAUAAGGCAAACUUUGAUCUUGUCAAAAGGUGUAUUGGUCUCUUUGGGCUCUUAUGUUUCUGUGAAAAUUGAGUCUUCAUACUAUAAUUCUUGGAAUUUUGGUAUUGAACAUGGGAAGAUCAGUAUCAUAAAUGUAUUGUAUCCGUAAAUUGUGUCAAAUAGUUUCAGCGUCUCACAGUUAUGUCUUAUUCUUAUAUUAGUCAUAGCUACAACUUUCUUGAAUCUUAAUUAUUAUUCCAUAGCUACAACUUUUCUUGAAUCUUCUACAGCUCAUUCAACUCACAUAUCUCAGAAGACUAGAUGACCAUGAUCUCACCAGAAUCAAUCUCUCUCUCUCUCUCUCU